Small nuclear RNA from Dermacentor andersoni, 184 nucleotides. RefSeq annotates it as U2 spliceosomal RNA. The record is from RefSeq and is a predicted model, not a curated record. NCBI's taxonomy places the organism in Eukaryota, Metazoa, Arthropoda, Arachnida, Ixodida, Ixodidae.
AUGUCCCACGCGGGUUAAAGUGUAGUAUCUGUUCUUAUCAGGUUAAUAUUUGAUAUGGGUUCUAUUUGGACCGAAGAUAUUAAACUCAUUUUUGCAAGUUGGCGGAGUGCUUGAAGCCUGCUGCACCUCCGCCACGAGUCGGUCCUGUUCAGGGGUGAUUUGCUUUUUAACCGGCUCAUCAAUU